Molecule: ribosomal RNA, 522 nt
Filed under: uncultured archaeon
Lineage: Archaea
Description: bacterial SSU rRNA
Rfam family: Archaeal small subunit ribosomal RNA
Source: RNAcentral
ACGGGGUGCAGCAGGCGCGAACACUUUACAAUGCGGGAAACCGCGAUAAGGGAACCCCGAGUGCCAGCAUCAAAUGUUGGCUGUCCAGAUGAUUAAAAAUCAUUUGUUAGCAAGGGCCGGGCAAGACCGGUGCCAGCCGCCGCGGUAACACCGGCGGCCCGAGUGGUAGCCGUUUUUAUUGGGUCUAAAGGGUCCGUAGCCGGCCUGAUAAGUCCUUUGGGAAAUCUGGCAGCUUAACUGUCAGGCUUCUAAGGGAUACUGUCAGGCUUGGGACCGGAAGAGGUAAGGGGUACUCCAGGGGUAGGAGUGAAAUCUUGUGAUCCCUGGGGGACCAUCUGUGGCGAAGGCGCCUUACCAGAACGGGUCCGACGGUGAGGGACGAAAGCUAGGGGAGCAAACCGGAUUAGAUACCCGGGUAGUCCUAGCUGUAAACGAUGCUCGCUAGGUGUCAGACACGGUGCGACCGUGUUUGGUGCCGCAGGGAAGCCGUUAAGCGAGCCACCUGGAAGUACGUCGCAAGGC